RNAcentral lists this ribosomal RNA (585 nucleotides) under uncultured bacterium. RNAcentral's name for it is "bacterial SSU rRNA". It matches the Rfam family "Bacterial small subunit ribosomal RNA", at positions 338 to 916 of the family's 1533-position model. The record is from RNAcentral.
CCUACGGGAGGCAGCAGUGGGGAAUUUUGGACAAUGGGCGAAAGCCUGAUCCAGCCAUUCCGCGUGCAGGAUGAAGGCCCUCGGGUUGUAAACUGCUUUUGUACAGAACGAAAAGGUUUCUAUUAAUACUAGGAGCUCAUGACGGUACUGUAAGAAUAAGCACCGGCUAACUACGUGCCAGCAGCCGCGGUAAUACGUAGGGUGCAAGCGUUAAUCGGAAUUACUGGGCGUAAAGCGUGCGCAGGCGGUUAUAUAAGUCAGAUGUGAAAUCCCCGGGCUCAACCUGGGAACUGCAUUUGAGACUGUAUAGCUAGAGUACGGUAGAGGGGGAUGGAAUUCCGCGUGUAGCAGUGAAAUGCGUAGAUAUGCGGAGGAACACCGAUGGCGAAGGCAAUCCCCUGGACCUGUACUGACGCUCAUGUCCGAAAGCGUGGGGAGCAAACAGGAUUAGAUACCCUGGUAGUCCACGCCCUAAACGAUGUCAACUGGUUGUUGGGUCUUAACUGACUCAGUAACGAAGCUAACGCGUGAAGUUGACCGCCUGGGGAGUACGGCCGCAAGGUUGAAACUCAAAUGAAUUGACGG